RNAcentral lists this ribosomal RNA (253 nucleotides) under uncultured bacterium. Its description in RNAcentral is "partial 16S ribosomal RNA". It matches the Rfam family "Bacterial small subunit ribosomal RNA", at positions 524 to 776 of the family's 1533-position model. The record is from RNAcentral.
UACGAAGGGGGCUAGCGUUGUUCGGAAUCACUGGGCGUAAAGCGUACGUAGGCGGAUCGUUAAGUCAGGGGGGAAAGCCUGGAGCUCAACUCCAGAACUGCCUUUGAUACUGGCGAUCUUGAGACCGGGAGAGGUGAGUGGAACUGCUAGUGUAGAGGUGAAAUUCGUAGAUAUUAGCAAGAACACCAGUGGCGAAGGCGGCUCACUGGCCCGGUACUGACGCUGAGGUACGAAAGCGUGGGGAGCAAACAGG